This 135-nucleotide non-coding RNA is filed under the name Bacillus massilioanorexius. RNAcentral describes it as "SAM riboswitch (S box leader)". It matches the Rfam family "SAM riboswitch aptamer (S box leader)". From Rfam's summary of the family: The SAM riboswitch is found upstream of a number of genes which code for proteins involved in methionine or cysteine biosynthesis in Gram-positive bacteria. The SAM riboswitch acts at the level of transcription termination control. Lineage: Bacteria; Bacillati; Bacillota; Bacilli; Caryophanales; Bacillaceae. The record is from RNAcentral.
UCUUAUCCUGAGCUGGUGGAGGGACAGACCCGAUGAAGCCCAGCAACCUGCUAUAUGUAAAAUAAUCACAUAUUUGAUUAUUUUUGUAGCAAAGGUGCUCAACUGAUGCAAGGCAUUGGUCCUUGAACGAUAAGA